Molecule: long non-coding RNA, 723 nt
Filed under: Marmota monax (woodchuck)
Lineage: Eukaryota; Metazoa; Chordata; Mammalia; Rodentia; Sciuridae
Source: RNAcentral
CUGUGAGGAGAGGUUGCCCUGCGCCCUGAACCUGCGGGAGUGUGGGGGAGGAGUGAACCUGCUCCGGGCCUCGCGGACCCGCCUUCGCCAGAACCGGCUCCGGGAGCCCGGGAGAAGCGGGCGGCUGGUGGCGGGGUGCCUUUAGUAACUUACUUGACGGACAAUAACUAUUCCCCCCAAACAGUCCCCUCAAACCAAACCUAGUCUAUUUAACACAUAUUUAAUCUUCCAAUAGGGUUUGGCGUUGUUGUCAGCCUCGGGGAGAGAGAUUGGACAAAUAUUCUCCAAGAGGAAGAGGGCGACGCCAAGGACUUUCCACAUCAACUGCUUUUGGGGUUUCUCCUCAAGUUGGAAGAGAGACCCUUUUCGUUUUGCUUUGCGUGUCCUGUGCUUAUUACCAGUGCAGCUACUGCUGCCUCUGGGUGACUCCGAGUUGUCCUUCCUCGUGAACUAGCAAUGGCUAGUGAAGACAAUCGUGGCCCUUCCCCGCCACCAACAGGUGAUGACGAGGGAGGUGGAGGGAAAGAAGAAACCCCUGCGGAAGGGGGUGCAUUGUCUCUGAAGCCAGGGCUCCCCAUCAGGGGCAUCAGAAUGAAAUUUGCCGUGUUGACCGGAUUGGUUGAAGUUGGAGAAGUAUCCAAUAGGGAUAUCGUAGAAACUGUCUUUAACCUGGUAAGUAGAUGAAUAUUUUAUAAGCAUAUACUUUUCUUGGUGAGUUGGAGA